This 488-nucleotide ribosomal RNA is filed under the name uncultured bacterium. Its description in RNAcentral is "bacterial SSU rRNA". It matches the Rfam family "Bacterial small subunit ribosomal RNA", at positions 30 to 516 of the family's 1533-position model. The record is from RNAcentral.
AUUGAACGCUGGCGGAAUGCUUUACACAUGCAAGUCGAACGGCAGCACGGACUUCGGUCUGGUGGCGAGUGGCGAACGGGUGAGUAAUACAUCGGAACGUGCCCGGACGUGGGGGAUAACUACUCGAAAGAGUGGCUAAUACCGCAUACGAUCCAAGGAUGAAAGCGGGGGAUCGCAAGACCUCGCGCGUUUGGAGCGGCCGAUGGCAGAUUAGGUAGUUGGUGAGGUAAAGGCUUACCAAGCCUGCGAUCUGUAGCUGGUCUGAGAGGAUGAUCAGCCACACUGGGACUGAGACACGGCCCAGACUCCUACGGGAGGCAGCAGUGGGGAAUUUUGGACAAUGGGCGAAAGCCUGAUCCAGCCAUUCCGCGUGCAGGAUGAAGGCCCUCGGGUUGUAAACUGCUUUUCCAGGGAGAGAAACUUACGCACGUGUUGCGUGACUGACGGUACCCUGGGAAUAAGCAUCGGCUAACUCCGUGCCAGCACGG